This 1198-nucleotide ribosomal RNA is filed under the name Bossiella frondescens. RNAcentral describes it as "eukaryotic LSU rRNA". The stretch from base 582 to 734 matches the Rfam family "5.8S ribosomal RNA". Lineage: Eukaryota; Rhodophyta; Florideophyceae; Corallinales; Corallinaceae. The record is from RNAcentral.
CAUUCAUGUUUUUAAGUUUGUGAAAGGGAUUUCUGGAGGUAGCGAUCAUUNAAUUUAUUGUUUGUGAGUUCCUUUGGUUGUUUCUGAACAACUUAUAUUUUUUGCGAUAACUUCCUUCUCUUUGUGAGAUUGUAAUUUCUUUUGUACUUGCAUAUUCUAUGCUUGAACUUUCAUUUACGUAGGUUGGUGAGGGUUUGACGGACGAGCUUUAGUAGGCAGUGUUUAUCACUGUUGAACUCAUGUCUUUACUUCAGGUGACCUUUAAUGUGGAGGUGUUUUUCGUUUUUCUUUCCAGAUGCUUUGCACGUAGCUUUCCUAUUAAGUUAGGUUGGGGUACGCACACGUCCCAUCUCAGGUGGGCGGUCACGACCUCCUAAAACGCGUUGCUUCUCUUGGUACCCUUGAGAUUCCCUUCACAAACUCGACCAUCCUACCUGUUUGGAGUGACGAGGGCUGUUGAAAGCGCGAGUUAGAUAACGAUUAACAUGUACACUCGGUUUGAUUGCGAUUGCAAUGAGCAAUGCUUGUACAAUUCUAUAUACUACAUAACACAUCUAGGGAACAAACAAUUUUUGACAUACAACCCGUGGCGGGGGAUGUCUCGGCUUCCACAUCGAUGAAGAACGUAGCAAAAUGCGAUAUGUAAUGCGAUUUGCAGAACUCGUGAGUCAUCGAAUUUUUGAACGCAAGUUGCGCUCGCGGGAAAUCCUGCGAGCACGUCUGUUUGAGUGUCCGUACAAAAACUAAAACACUUGUUUUUUAUUUUUCCCUUUGUUGACUUUGUUGCUUGCAAUGAUUUUGACAGUGUUGAGUGUUUCCGUUCACAGUGCAUUUUACAUGUACAGGAUGGUCACUUUAAGUUGAGGGGUAAUUGUUCCUCGUGAACUUUACCAUUGGCAUGGUUUUUUAAACCUUACUACACCGUUCCCCUGCUACUUUCUAAGUAGUGAGGAGCUGCUCACUUGCAUAUGACUUCGUUUUUCACUUAGAAUUUUUGUCUAGGUACUGAUGUUUUCUUUCUGCUGAGGUGCGAUUGUUGUGAAGUGAUUACUUAGAGCAACUAUUCAACAACCUCUGAAGGACUACAGCUUUACUGUUUGAACACAAUUUGGACUUGUGAUUUAAGUUGUCGCGCUUGUGUUUUACUUCUCCAGUGCUAUUCUUUAGUGCUGUGGCAAGACGCGUAGCAAAACAGUGC